UACAGAGGUCCCAAGCGUUGUUCGGAUUCACUGGGCGUAAAGGGUGCGUAGGUGGUCGGGUAAGUCUGAUGUGAAAUCUCCAAGCUUAACUUGGAAAUGGCAUUGGAUACUAUUCGGCUAGAGGGUUUGAGGGGGGACUGGAAUACUUGGUGUAGCAGUGAAAUGCGUAGAUAUCAAGUGGAACACCAGUGGCGAAGGCGAGUCCCUGGAAAACUCCUGACACUGAGGCACGAAAGCUAGGGGAGCAAACAGG
RNAcentral lists this ribosomal RNA (253 nucleotides) under uncultured bacterium. RNAcentral's name for it is "partial 16S ribosomal RNA". It matches the Rfam family "Bacterial small subunit ribosomal RNA", at positions 524 to 776 of the family's 1533-position model. The record is from RNAcentral.